RNAcentral lists this ribosomal RNA (1147 nucleotides) under Perna viridis (Asian green mussel). RNAcentral describes it as "16S ribosomal RNA". The stretch from base 730 to 1147 matches the Rfam family "Bacterial large subunit ribosomal RNA", at positions 2048 to 2722 of the family's 2925-position model. Lineage: Eukaryota; Metazoa; Mollusca; Bivalvia; Mytilida; Mytilidae. The record is from RNAcentral.
UACUGUAAAGGAUUGUAGAGUCUAGAUUAGUAGGGGUUAAGGUCCGUACCUUUUGUAUAAGGGUUUUUUUAGAAAAUGAGUGUAUAACUGUUUCCCGAAAAAAGAUAAGUUACUUGAAUUUAAUUUAUUUUUCGUGGUAAAGAAAAAUAAAAAAAUCAAGUAAAAGUGAUAUGCUAUUUGCUUCUUUUGAUAUCUGGUUAGCUUAAAAAAAUAUUUAGUAUUGUCUAUUUUCGUAGAUUCAAAUCAUCUGGGAUAAGCUGGGUGUUGGGGUGAAUUAAAGAAAUUCUUGUUGUAAUUAGAGUUUUAAAUAGUCUUUAUAUUAGUCAUUUUUUUUAGUUUGUCAUAAAAACUAUCUUGUUUUUGUAAGAAUUCUUUUUUAGAGUUUAUGGGAAAUAUAAGCUUAUACUUUAAAGAGUAGUAAUACUGAUAAGAAUGAGUAAAGUGGUAGAAAAAUUCCUUUGUAAAAUGGAAUUCUAAUUUAAUAUAUUGUUUUUGUAAGUUCCUGUAAUGAACUCGGCAAACAUUUUAUCCUCGACUGUUUAACAAAAACAUUUCUCGUAGAAAGUGAUUACGGGUAGGCCCUGCCCGGUGUAAAUAGAAAAUAUUUAUAAACGGCGGCAUUAACGUGAGUGUCCUAAGGUAGCGCGAUAAUUUGCCCUUUAAUUGGGGGAUGGGAUGAAUGGGUUUACGUGGGAGAUUCUGUGUCACAGGAUUAAGUUGAAAUUAUUUUUAAAGUGAAGAAACUUUAAUAAGGCAGAAAGACGACAAGACCCUAUGAAGCUUAAUAGAUAUAACUUUCUAAAACGAUGGUUUAAUAUUUUAAUGGGGCAUUAUAGAAUGGAGAUAUUCUAAUAUUUGUUAGUCCUACUGGAUUUAACUGUGUUCAUAUAAGGAAAGCUACUCUAGGGAUAACAGCGAAAUUUUUUUUGAUAGAAGACAUUAGAAAAAAAGUUUUCGACCUCGAUGUUGGCUUUAGGUAACCCUUGGGUGUAUCAGUUCAAGUGUGUGGGUUUGUUCAACCUUUAAUUCCUAACAUGAGCUGAGUUCAGAACGGCGUGAGCUAGUUCAGUUUCUAUCUUCUGUUUAUAAUAUUGAUGGGUUUGGUACGCAAGGAACAACUUAUUCCAGAUUGUAAUCUGUAUUGGUU